GGCUCGGUAGCUCAGUUGGUAGAGCAACGGAUUGAAGCUCCGUGUGUCGGCGGUUCGAUUCCGUCCCGAGCCACCA
RNAcentral lists this transfer RNA (76 nucleotides) under Halolactibacillus alkaliphilus. RNAcentral's name for it is "tRNA_Phe_GAA". It matches the Rfam family "tRNA". Rfam says of the family: Transfer RNA (tRNA) molecules are approximately 80 nucleotides in length. Their secondary structure includes four short double-helical elements and three loops (D, anti-codon, and T loops). Further hydrogen bonds mediate the characteristic L-shaped molecular structure. tRNAs have two regions of fundamental functional importance: the anti-codon, which is responsible for specific mRNA codon recognition, and the 3' end, to which the tRNAs corresponding amino acid is attached (by aminoacyl-tRNA synthetases). tRNAs cope with the degeneracy of the genetic code in two manners: having more than one tRNA (with a specific anti-codon) for a particular amino acid; and 'wobble' base-pairing, i.e. permitting non-standard base-pairing at the 3rd anti-codon position. Lineage: Bacteria; Bacillati; Bacillota; Bacilli; Caryophanales; Bacillaceae. The record is from RNAcentral.